Molecule: ribosomal RNA, 253 nt
Filed under: uncultured bacterium
Lineage: Bacteria
Description: partial 16S ribosomal RNA
Rfam family: Bacterial small subunit ribosomal RNA
Source: RNAcentral
UACGUAGGGUGCAAGCGUUGUCCGGAAUUAUUGGGCGUAAAGAGCUCGUAGGCGGUCUGUCGCGUCGGCUGUGAAAACCCGGGGCUCAACCCCGGGCCUGCAGUCGAUACGGGCAGACUAGAGUGCGGUAGGGGAGACUGGAAUUCCUGGUGUAGCGGUGAAAUGCGCAGUUAUCAGGAGGAACACCGGUGGCGAAGGCGGGUCUCUGGGCCGUAACUGACGCUGAGGAGCGAAAGCGUGGGGAGCGAACAGG